RNAcentral lists this ribosomal RNA (1410 nucleotides) under uncultured Bordetella sp. RNAcentral describes it as "partial 16S-23S ribosomal RNA intergenic spacer". It matches the Rfam family "Bacterial small subunit ribosomal RNA". Lineage: Bacteria; Pseudomonadati; Pseudomonadota; Betaproteobacteria; Burkholderiales; Alcaligenaceae. The record is from RNAcentral.
CGCAAGUCGAACGGCAGCACGGACUUCGGUCUGCGGCGAGCAAGAACGGGUGAGUAAUAUCAGAACGUGCCUAGUAGCGGGGAUAACUACGGAAGCGCAGCUAAUACCGCACAUGCUCCCCGGGGAGCGGACCUUCGGCUCGCACCAUUAGAGCGGCUGGGAUAUCGGAUUAGCUAGUUGGUGGGGUAACGCUCACCGGGGUUGCUGACGAUCCGUGGCUGGUUUUGAGAUGACGACCAGCCACACUGGGGAUUCAGCAGAUAUACGGCCCAGACUCCCACGGGAAGGGCAGGGGGAAUGGGACAAUGGGAAACUCCCGAUCCAGCCAUCCCGCGUAAAGUACAAGGCCUUCACAAAGUGUCUUUGCAGGAGAAACGGUAUCGAUAUAAUACCUCUGCAAUCGAUUACGGGUACCUUUGCAGAAUAAGCACCGGUUAAUCCACGUGCCAGCAGCCGCGGUAAUGUGGCGCAAGCGUUAAUCGGAAUUACUGGGCAAAGCGUGCGCAGGCGGUCUGGAAAAGAAAUACGGAAAUCCCAGAGUCAUCCUUGAACUGCAUUUUUAACUACCGGAGCUAGAGGUCAGAGGAGGAAUUCCGCGUGUAGCAGUGGAAAUGCGGAUAUGCGGAGGAACACCGAUGGAGAAGGCAGCCUCCUGAUAACACUGACGCUCAUGCACGAAAGCGUGGGGAGCAAACAGGAUUAGAUACCCUGGUAGUCCACGCCCUAAACGAUACCAACUAGCUGUUGGGUUCUCUUAGCCCGUGGUAGCGCAGCUAACGCGGAAGUUGACCGCCUGGGGAGUGGCUGUCGCAAGAUUAAAACUCAAAGGAAUUGAUUGGGACCUGCACGUUGUGGAUGAUGUGGAUUGUCUGAUGCAACGAAAAACCUUACCUACCCUUGAGCAUGUCUGGAAUCCCGAAGAGAUUUGGGAGUGCUCAAAGAGAACCGAACACAGGUGCUGCAUGGCUGUCGUCAGCUCGUGUCGUGAGAUGUUGGGUUAAGUCCCGCAACGAGCGCAACCCUUGUCAUUAGUUGCUACGAAAGGGCACUCUUAAUGACUGCCGGUGACAAACCGGAGGGGAAGGGGUGGGGAUGACGUCAAGUCCUCAUGGCCCUUGCGGUAGGGCUUCACACGUCUUACAAUGGUCGGGACAGGAGUGGUCACAACCCGCGAGGGGGAGCCAAUCCCAGAAACCCGACCGGUGUCCGGAUCGCAGUCUGCAACCUCGACUGCGUGAAGUCGGAAUCGCUAGCACUGCGGAUCAGCAUGUCGCGGUGAAUACGUUCCCGGGUCUUGUACACACCGCCCGUCACACCAUGGGAGGGUUUUACCAGAAGAGUUAGCCCAACCGUAAGGAGGGCGAUUACCACGGUAGGAUUCAUGACCGGGGUGAAGUCGUAACAAGGUAG